GUUUGCACUUGUCGGGGAAGGGUGAGAACCUUCGAUUAAGGUUCGACUCGAGCGAAAGCGAGAGAACGUUGCCAACGGCAACGGCCCGAAGGGUGAGGAGCGAAGCGACGAAUAAUCCUUCCCCCACCACUA
RNAcentral lists this small RNA (132 nucleotides) under Citrobacter freundii. RNAcentral describes it as "RtT sRNA". It matches the Rfam family "RtT RNA". Rfam says of the family: This family represents a bacterial cis-regulatory element known as RtT RNA. The record is from RNAcentral. RNAcentral also lists the same sequence under 3 other names. Lineage: Bacteria; Pseudomonadati; Pseudomonadota; Gammaproteobacteria; Enterobacterales; Enterobacteriaceae.